GCGCGAUUAGCUCAUUGGUAGAGCACUGCUUUGACAUAGCAGGGGUAGUAAGUUCAAUUCUUACAUCGCGCACCA
RNAcentral lists this transfer RNA (75 nucleotides) under Alphaproteobacteria bacterium. RNAcentral describes it as "tRNA-Val". It matches the Rfam family "tRNA". From Rfam's summary of the family: Transfer RNA (tRNA) molecules are approximately 80 nucleotides in length. Their secondary structure includes four short double-helical elements and three loops (D, anti-codon, and T loops). The record is from RNAcentral. Lineage: Bacteria; Pseudomonadati; Pseudomonadota; Alphaproteobacteria.